RNAcentral lists this small nuclear RNA (324 nucleotides) under Chinchilla lanigera (long-tailed chinchilla). Its description in RNAcentral is "7SK RNA (ENSCLAG00000021529.1)". It matches the Rfam family "7SK RNA". From Rfam's summary of the family: 7SK was discovered as an abundant small nuclear RNA in the mid-70s but a possible function has only recently been suggested. Two independent studies have found that 7SK RNA binds the CDK9/cyclin T complex (known as elongation factor P-TEFb). Lineage: Eukaryota; Metazoa; Chordata; Mammalia; Rodentia; Chinchillidae. The record is from RNAcentral.
GGAUGUGAGGGCGAUCUGGUUGUGACAUCUGUUGCCCCACUUAUCGCCAGAGUUGAUUCGGCUGAUCUGGCUGGCUAGGCGGGGGUCCCCUUCCUCCCUCACCGCUCCAUGUGCGUCCCUCCGGAAGCUGCGAGCUCGGUCGAAGAGGAUGACCACCUCCCACCCCGAAAGAGGAGGACCAUUCCGCAGUCGAUUGUAUAUGAGUAGCUCCACAUCUCUGCUAGAACCUCUCCACACAAGCUCUCAAAAAGGUUUUUCUCCAACCCAGCAAUAAUCAGAUAGAUGUGUAAUUCUAAAAUCCCGUUCCAAAGGACAACAAAAAUU